GUUUGAAGCUUGUGAGUUAUUGUGGAGGUGUUUGACAUGUGUCCUAACUUUCUUUCAGGUGCAGAUGCAUUGCAUCCAUGGCAGAGGGUCAGAGUCAGGAGGUGCAGGGCCUUCUUAGGAGCGCGCUGUCUGAGAGACACCAGCCCGGUGCCAGCAGGACCUUCCCAGGUGACGAGGUGGCCUUUCUUUGCACCUGACACAGACUGGCAUCCCCUGAUGUCUGAGAGAUAAGUAGAGGGCUGUGACCCACAGAGGGGAUGAACGUGGGGUGCUGGGUCGGGACUCCCUGAGGUGGGGGUCUGAGUUGGCUCUGGCAAUGAGGUUAGCCAAGAUGUGGCCCCUUAGGCCCCAUAAAAGCAAAGUCUCCCUUUUGGUCACAGUGCUGAGGUGCGCAGCAGGGCAGAGCAGUCCCGGUGUGUCUCGUGUCACUUGUCUUUUGUGUAUUGUGUGUUGUCUGGAUAUCUCAUGUCUCUUAUCUUAGCCCUGUGAGAAGCCUCUCAGAAACCUUUCCUAGCAUCCGUGAUCUCAGCGUUCCUUGCCCUGGCACCCAUGCCAUAGAACUUUUGACUGGGGAGCUCACACAGCCAUCAGAAAUGCAUCUCUCUUUAGAAGCGUCCUGUCAGAUGUCUUGUCAUGUCUUGUUCUGAGCUGUACGGACAGCCAUGCUGCGCAAUGAUCCAUUAUAGCAGACUGGGACUUGUAAGAAUGUGAGGUUUGGGAGAGGAUUCUGACUGUAGGAUUCCCGAGCCACCAUCUUUGCAGUUUUUGGAAUAAAUCAUUCAGUUUGCAUCUUCUUUCUCCAGGGUUCUCUGAGCUUCAUCAGCUCGCCAUCAGCUUCAACUCUUCUUCUUUUGCGUUCUCUCAGUCCUUGCAGCCAUUUUCCUUGCUAAGAGAUUUCUGUUCCUGUUGUGUCCCCAGUGUUUGUCCUGUCCUGUCCUGCCUGUCCUGUGUCACGGGAGUCAGCACACAUAUGUGCUGGAGCUGCUCUGCCCUGCCGCACAGCCUGGUGCGAUAGGAGAAGUCCCAGGGACUUGGAAUGUGUAAUGUGGGGUGUAGUUGGACUCUAGAUGGGAUUUGUAGGUGGACACAGGAUAUCCGGAGCUCCUCAGUUAUCCUGCAACUGUUUGACUCUUGUCCUACCUUUUUUUUCAGAUUGAGAUGGAUUAAAUCUGUGCCAGAGGGCCCCGUCCCGGGUGAGGGGAUUGCCCCGAGCAGGAAGUCAAUCUGGGUACCAGCAGCCAAGGUGCCACCCCUAAUGAAGGCCCCAGCCUUGGAAUCAGGAUGAAGCUGGAGCCUGAGGGAGCCAGGCACACUCAGGAAAGGGGAAGUAGCUGACUUGCAGGGAUUUGGCCCACAUAACUCUGGACUCAUACUUUGGAUUUGGUUUUCUUUAUUGCAGCUGACCGAGAGGCUCACAGGCCAUCACGGGGCCCUCCAAGGCAGACUCAUUUCAGGUGCAGCGUGGAUUCUCAUGACUGACCAUCCAAAAGAUAAGUUGAGGGCCACGGCCUGGAGAUGGCGGAGUAGCAGGUUGGGAAUCCCUGGGACAGAUUUAAAAAUGAGCAGAGGGGAAAGCAAUCUUCUCCAAGGGCCUCUUAGGACAGCUAAAGGGAGAGGCUCUGCUUUUGAUGGCAGCUUUCAGCUGGGCAGUGCAGAACAGCUCUGGUCUGUGUCGUGUUGUCCGGUGUGCCGUGUUCCCUAGUGUGUCUUUGGGGUCCCUUUUGCCUUUUUCCCCUCGAGGCCCUCACCACAAGCAUGAUGUGUCAUGUUUCAUGUCCCCCUGUUUGUCACGUUCUGUGUCACGGGUGUGUGCUCACAUUUGUGCUGGAGCUGUUCUGCCCUGCCGCAUGGCCUUCUGCCGUAGUAAAAAUUCCAGAAAUAAAAAUCUUGACGCAGAAAUAUUUAAUCAAAUAUAAAAAAAUAUGAAUAAAAAGAUAUAAAAAAUAUGAAAAACU
Melospiza melodia melodia is the source of this 1955-nucleotide long non-coding RNA. RefSeq lists it as uncharacterized. The transcript has 4 exons. NCBI's taxonomy places the organism in Eukaryota, Metazoa, Chordata, Aves, Passeriformes, Passerellidae. The record is from RefSeq and is a predicted model, not a curated record.